CCUACGGGUGGCAGCAGUGGGGAAUAUUGGGCAAUGGGCGAAAGCCUGACCCAGCAACGCCGCGUGAAGGAAGAAGGCUUUCGGGUUGUAAACUUCUUUUGACAGGGAAGAGCAGACGACGGUACCUGAGGAAUAAGCCACGGCUAACUACGUGCCAGCAGCCGCGGUAAUACGUAGGUGGCAAGCGUUAUCCGGAUUUACUGGGUGUAAAGGGCGUGUAGGCGGGACUGCAAGUCAGAUGUGAAAACCACGGGCUCAACCUGUGGCCUGCAUUUGAAACUGUAGUUCUUGAGUACGGGAGAGGCAGACGGAAUUCCUAGUGUAGCGGUGAAAUGCGUAGAUAUUAGGAGGAACACCAGUGGCGAAGGCGGUCUGCUGGACAGCAACUGACGCUGAGGCGCGAAAGCGUGGGGAGCAAACAGGAUUAGAUACCCGGGUAGUC
RNAcentral lists this ribosomal RNA (442 nucleotides) under uncultured bacterium. Its description in RNAcentral is "partial 16S ribosomal RNA". It matches the Rfam family "Bacterial small subunit ribosomal RNA", at positions 338 to 795 of the family's 1533-position model. The record is from RNAcentral.